UACAGGGGGGGCGAGCGUUGUUCGGAAUUACUGGGCGUAAAGGGUUUGUAGGUGGCUUGUUAAGUCAGACGUGAAAUCCCUCAGCUUAACUGGGGAACUGCGUCUGAUACUGGAUGGCUUGAGUUUGGGAGAGGGAUGCGGAAUUCCAGGUGUAGCGGUGAAAUGCGUAGAUAUCUGGAGGAACACCGGUGGCGAAGGCGGCAUCCUGGACCAACACUGACGCUGAGGAGCGAAAGCCAGGGGAGCAAACGGG
Molecule: ribosomal RNA, 253 nt
Filed under: uncultured prokaryote
Description: partial 16S ribosomal RNA
Rfam family: Bacterial small subunit ribosomal RNA
Source: RNAcentral